UCAUUCAUCCAUCAUACAUAUUUAAUGCAUUUUAUAUUAAAUUAAUAAAAGAAAGACACAUGAUGUGUUGCCAUCACAACCCCAUUCAUUAUUAAAGACUGUCUCAGCAUGUCAUCUUAAAUGAAUAUUAUAGUGAAAUAGUAUUUGUGUCAUUAUGAAUACAUUAUUAUAUACAUUUACAAGUUCAUUUCAUUUUACAGGUGUUGCUCUGGCAAACAAUAAACCAGGUGCAUAUAAAGACUAAAGGGUUAAACUGACCUUCAUCACUUUAAUCAUAUAAACAUCACAUACUUCACCAUUCAGGUGAUCUCUACAGCCACAAUGUUUACCUGUGACACCUCAAAACCAAACAUGCAUCUAUAUUUGAGCUUCUCAUCACUGUGCACAUGCUCCGAGUAGCACACCCGUACCAGCUUAAAAAGAAAAGCCCUCUAAAACGUCACCGCUCGCAGUAUGGAGACGUGAAAUAUGACGAGACAGAUAUUGCCUCGUGUAUUAAGGAGUCGGAAGGAAAGCGGGUUGUGGUCCACUUGAAUGGGAGUGAUCGACACUAUUUGGCUAUUGGCCAAAGCACUUCAGUGUGGGUUCACGCCGCUGAGUCAGGGAAACAGAGUGAGGCUGCUGACAAGGAAAGCAAGGCAGAACACCGUCAAUCAUCAGACAGGAGCAAAGUAGAAAAAGUUUAGGCUCUUUUUAAUUGCCAAGACUGUGAAAGCGUUCUGCCUCAUCACAACUCAACGUGACACAAACACACACGCAGGCAAAAUUAACCUACACUCAUACGCUCACUUCUCCCCCCCCACCACACACACUAAGAGCAGAAAAGGGUAAUGGACAAAACUUUUGAAAUUCAGCUGUGUGGUUUUAAGAAGACAUGUCAAGUCUGUGUUUUUAAACUCUGUUGUUUUAAUAGCCAUGUUCCUAUUAGAGCAUCAAUGUAUUCAGAUGCAGUAGAAUGAAUCUGUGUUUGGUACCACAGUGGUAAAUGUCAAAAUCAGCUUUAUAAAAACCACACAGAGAAGCGGGAAGUGGUUCUCUUUUGGUGGCGUAGCUCCUGAAGGAAGCUGAUGGAGCCCCUUGUUCUCUCGUGCAGCAGCUGUUAAGUGAUGUAGGGGGAAAACAAAAAAAACAACUUCCUUUUAGUCCUUCGAGAUAUAAAUGAUCCAUAACAGCUCGUCUCAUCCACAAGCAAACCUGUCCGACC
Long non-coding RNA from Gasterosteus aculeatus aculeatus (three-spined stickleback), 1204 nucleotides. The record is from Ensembl. NCBI's taxonomy places the organism in Eukaryota, Metazoa, Chordata, Actinopteri, Perciformes, Gasterosteidae.